GGAUCUAUAAUGUGUACGUGCAGCCCCAGCCGUCCGGCCGGGUGCGCUCUCCCUCUCUCACCCACACCCACACCCACACCCCGAUAUGGUCACGGCUCCUAUUCAUCGUCUACCUCGAAUCGUAGUCCUCGCACGAGAGAGCACUGCACAAUGCAAUGCAAUGCUGCAACCAUCGACCAGGAUGUAUCAUGCUGCACAACCACCUACCUUACCAGCUUUUUCUU
RNAcentral lists this long non-coding RNA (224 nucleotides) under Setaria italica (foxtail millet). RNAcentral's name for it is "long non-coding RNA (SITA_LNC003346)". The record is from RNAcentral. Lineage: Eukaryota; Viridiplantae; Streptophyta; Magnoliopsida; Poales; Poaceae.